This 749-nucleotide ribosomal RNA is filed under the name uncultured bacterium. RNAcentral's name for it is "bacterial SSU rRNA". It matches the Rfam family "Bacterial small subunit ribosomal RNA", at positions 91 to 824 of the family's 1533-position model. The record is from RNAcentral.
GCGAGCGGGGGAUGGGUGGGUAACACGUGGGGAACCUGCCCCUAAGUCUGGGAUACCAUUUGGAAACAGGUGCUAAUACCGGAUAAUAAAGCAGAUCGCAUGAUCAGCUUUUGAAAGGCGGCGUAAGCUGUCGCUAAGGGAUGGCCCCGCGGUGCAUUAGCUAGUUGGUAAGGUAACGGCUUACCAAGGCGACGAUGCAUAGCCGAGUUGAGAGACUGAUCGGCCACAUUGGGACUGAGACACGGCCCAAACUCCUACGGGAGGCAGCAGUAGGGAAUCUUCCACAAUGGACGCAGGUCUGAUGGAGCAACGCCGCGUGAGUGAAGAAGGUUUUCGGAUCGUAAAGCUCUGUUGUUGGUGAAGAAGGAUAGAGGUAGUAACUGGCCUUUAUUUGACGGUAAUCAACCAGAAAGUCACGGCUAACUACGUGCCAGCAGCCGCGGUAAUACGUAGGUGGCAAGCGUUGUCCGGAUUUAUUGGGCGUAAAGCGAGCGCAGGCGGAAAAAUAAGUCUAAUGUGAAAGCCCUCGGCUUAACCGAGGAACUGCAUCGGAAACUGUUUUUCUUGAGUGCAGAAGAGGAGAGUGGAACUCCAUGUGUAGCGGUGGAAUGCGUAGAUAUAUGGAAGAACACCAGUGGCGAAGGCGGCUCUCUGGUCUGCAACUGACGCUGAGGCUCGAAAGCAUGGGGUAGCGAACAGGAUUAGAUACCCUGGUAGUCCAUGCCGUAAACGAUGAAGUGCUAAGUGUU